GGGGUUGUAGCUCAGUGGCAGAGCACUUGCAUUGCAAGCGUGAGGUCCUGGGUUUGGUCCCCAGCACCACG
This 71-nucleotide transfer RNA is filed under the name Marmota monax (woodchuck). Its description in RNAcentral is "tRNA.Ala". It matches the Rfam family "tRNA". Rfam says of the family: Transfer RNA (tRNA) molecules are approximately 80 nucleotides in length. Lineage: Eukaryota; Metazoa; Chordata; Mammalia; Rodentia; Sciuridae. The record is from RNAcentral.